RNAcentral lists this ribosomal RNA (1242 nucleotides) under metagenome. RNAcentral describes it as "bacterial LSU rRNA". It matches the Rfam family "Bacterial large subunit ribosomal RNA", at positions 1564 to 2816 of the family's 2925-position model. The record is from RNAcentral.
UGAAUACGAAACGCUAAGGCGUCGAAGUAGUGUAUGUCAUACUUCCAAGAAAAGCUUGCACUGUCAUAGAUAAAAAACGCCUGUACCAUAACCGACACAGGUGGGUAGGUAGAGUAUACUAAGGGGCGCGAGAUAACUCUCUCUAAGGAACUCGGCAAAAUAACUCCGUAACUUCGGGAGAAGGAGUGCCUUAUUCGUAAGGUUGCAAUAACAAGAUCCAAGCAACUGUCUAUCAAAAACACAGGUCUCCGCUAAGUCGUAAGACGAUGUAUGGGGGCUGACGCCUGCCCAGUGCCAGAAGGUUAAAGAAGUUGGUUAGCAAUUGCGAAGCUGAUAACUGAAGCCCUGGUGAACGGCGGCCGUAACGAUAACGGUCCUAAGGUAGCGAAAUUCCUUGUCGGGUAAGUUCCGACCCGCACGAAAGGCGUAAUGAUUUGGAUACUGUCUCGGAGAGGGGCUCGGUGAAAUAGACUUGUCUGUGAAGAUGCGGACUACCUGCACCAGGACAGAAAGACCCUAUGAAGCUUUACUGUAACUUGAAAUUGAAAUUGGACUUUAUUCGCGCAGUAUAGGUGGGAGGCGUUGAUUAUAAUCUUGUGGGAUUAUUGGAGCCAUCAGUGAGAUACCACUCUUGUAAUGUUAGAUUUCUAACUUUGAAUCAUUAUCUGGUCAAAGAACAGUUUCAGGCGGGCAGUUUGACUGGGGCGGUCGCCUCCUAAACGGUAACGGAGGCGUACAAAGGUUUCCUCUGAACGGUUAGAAAUCGUAUCUAGAGUGUAAAGGCAUAAGGAAGCUUGACUGUGAGACCUACAAGUCGAGCAGGGACGAAAGUCGGUCUUAGUGAUCUGACGGUACUGAGUGGAAAGGCCGUCACUCAACGGAUAAAAGUUACUCUAGGAUAACAGGCUGAUCUCCCCCAAGAGUUCACAUCGACGGGGAGGUUUGGCACCUCGAUGUCGGCUCAUCGCAUCCUGGGGCGGUAGUACGUCCCAAGGGUUGGGCUGUUCGCCCAUGAAAGCGGUACGCGAGCUGGGUUCAGAACGUCGUGAGACAGUUCGGUCCAUAUCCGGUGUAGGCGUUAGAAUAUUGAGAGGAGCCUUCUUUAGUACGAGAGGACCGAGAAGGACAUACCUCUGGUGUACCAGUUAUCGUGCCUACGGUAAACGCUGGGUAGCUAUGUAUGGAGUGGAUAACCGCUGAAAGCAUCUAAGUGGGAAGCCCACCUCAAGAUAAGUAUUCUCA